CCCCUUAGACUCUCCACUCCUACUGCCCAUGCCUGCUCUCUCAGGGCACAUGCCUGAGAUGGCUCGCCUGCUCCACACUUCAGGUUGGGCUGGUCCUUGUUUCACAGUCUCCUUGGGUAUGAUUAGACACCUGUCUGGCUGCACAACUUGCCCCAUAAAUAGGCUAAACGUUAAGCUGAUUGAAUUCAUUCCUAGCCACCUUCUCCAUGAAGCUUCUGGGCACCGCAGCCUCUGCUGACUGCUCCCACUGAGAACAGACAGCAGUAACCACACCCUGCUACAUGUUAGUGUCCACAGUGAGGAAGAGAACAAGCAGCAUGCCCUGUGCCAAGCACUGUGCUCCGUGUCAUUUACUUAACUGUCUUGACUGAGUAUCUUAUGAUGUGAGUGGCUAUCAGUAACUCUGUUUCAGACUGCUUAAAGAAUAAGGAAUUAUAGGAGUUCUCUUGUGGGGCUAUGGUUUAAGGAACUGGUUGGGCCACUGCUGUGGUGCAGCUUGAUCCCUGGCCUGGGAACUUCCACAUGCAGCAGGCACAGCCAAAAAAGAAAAACCAAAGUAAUAAGAAUCAUUUUUCCAUAUAACAAGAAAUCCUGAGGUCAGGCAGUCAGUUCAGACUCUCCUGAACCUCCAAAGCCAGAUUCCCUUUGGGUAAUAUGUAUUCCUCUUCUGAGUCCUUCACAAUUUCUUCCUGAUACUCCAUUCCCCAUAGAAGAAGUCAUAAAAUUCAUAAAAGCAGUAGGGGAUCAGGUAAGGGGGAAAACAACUAAAAUACAUAGCUGCAAGAAAACACAGGUGGAUGGAAUUCUCAUUGUGGUGCAGUGGAAAUGAAUCCGACUAGUACACACAAGGAUGCAGGUUUGAUCCCUGGUCUCACUCAGUGGGUUAAGAAUCUGGCUUUGCUGUGAGCUGUGGUGUAGUUUGCAGAUGUAGCUCAGAUCCUGUGUGGUUGUGGCUGUGGCAUAGCCCAGCAAUGUUCAUUUUGCCUUAGCUGGAGUUUAUGACAUCCUUCCUCUAAAACCUAUUCCAUGUGCCCUUUCUCUUCAGCAGCAUCUUAGCUGGAUAGAGUUCUUGACCCAGUGAGAUGCCCCAAACUCUGAUUUUUUUGGAGCAUCUGAAUCUUUGGUGGGCCUGCUUAAAUGGAUUUGUUGAAGUCUUCUAUUAGCUUUUUCCACAUACUGGGCUUGAUGAACCAGGUGUUACCCUCCCUAUUGUGCAGGCAUUAUUGUCCCCAGCCCCUAUUAUUUAUAUAAGAGCAUCUGUAGCUGCAGGCUACUGUAACCCUCUUUAUGCUUGUUCCCCAAGUGGCAUGAAAACAUUGAGAUGGACAGGUGGCAGUUGCAGUUUUCAAUAUAAUGAAAUCAUCCUCUUGUCUCCUUUCUUGAGUGUUAGCCCUCGAAGCCAGCAGAGCUGAGCUGCAGAAAUAACGUAUCAGCCAGGAUCCCAACAGGAAACUGCAUUCAACUCACUUGAUUUAAAUGAAGAGAUUUUGCUGAGGGACCACUUACAGAGGGGAGGCCAGGGUUAGGGAGUCUAUCAUAGGUUGAGGCACCCAGAGACUAACAUAGAGCAGAAAGCAGAUACCACCACUAGGCUUGAAAAGGUAAGUGGAGGAAAUACUAUUAUCUGAGCCCAGGAAGAAUGGAGCUGAGGUGGGAUCACCUGGAAGAAGUAGCCCCUGAAAAAGAUGUAAUGCCAAACCUUGGAGAGAAGGAAUAGGAAUGCCCAGCUCGCUCUCUCCUCUGGCUUCACUUACCCGUCUGUGCCGUCUCUUGGCUGAUCCAGAGGCAAGCCAGCAUGGGAGGCCAGGUGAGAUAGUCAACAGGGCAGAAAGUGGAAUAUGGAAUAACCCAAUAUGGAAUAACCAUAAAUAGGAAACGAAAGCAUUUGCAAGGAGGUUGCUAGAUGGCAUAGUGAGAGAUGCCACCCACUUCUACCCACUCUUUCAUGGUUUCCCAGAGUGAGGUGUUCUGCCUUUGGAACCCCCAGCAGCAUAUACUGGUUUCUAGCUCAAAGCACAGGCUCAUGCAGGAGGACAGCAGCUCAACCUCGCAAGGGGUUUUCUCAAAUGCUACUACUGAGUCUUUCUUGAAGAAUUCUAACCUCCUAGAAGACCAGUGAGUGCCAUAUAUUUCAUCUCAUUUCCUUUAGGGUAUCUUAUUAUUCUAAAAUAAAUUCCUUGCUGCGAUGCAUGUGGUGUGGGAUACUGCAAUGGUGAGUAAAGCAUUUAGUAAGUCUACUGGUGAUGUUGCCAGAAGAAACACAGUGGCCAGGCAAGGCAAAUCGAAUCCCUAGUGGGCUCUCCCUACCUGAGGACAAACCAUUGCCCCCUUCAAGAUGGAAGGGGUUAUAAAUAGCCUGCCACUGGGCACCCGAAGUAGGUACCAUAUCAGAUGUCCAGCAUUGGUCUUUGCUGCGGGCAAACUGGGGAAUCAGAGUGGCAGUAGCCAGAUCAUCUCGGUAAGGGGAAGCCCCUGUUGUUGAGCUCAUGCAUAAUUUUUUCCUGUGCCACUACAGCCUCUUUGUUUGAGUGCCUCAUGGGGUAGCAGAAGUGACUGACAUCCAUGGUCAGAUUGUCCAUCUCACUUUUGAAAGCAUGCUCUCCAGAAAGGCCCUUUUUGUUAUCAUUCAUGGGAAAACAAUAUCACACACUCUGUACUCAUUCUAAGAGGCUUACUGUCAUACGUCUUCUCUAAAUUUACUUGACACUGAAGCUCCAUUGUUGUCCUUUCCAAAUUUCUGACCAGUUAACUGAAUCAUUAGCCACAGCCUAUGAACCAUGAUAGAUCCAUUCUUCUGGCCAUCUUUCUUUCCAAGAAAAGCAGAUGACUCAAAGUUCUUCCCUUUGGGAGUUUUCACUUCUUAUUGUCUUUCAAAGUCACCUCUGAAUGAAUCUAUAGAAUUUCAGGAAAUAGAAAGCCACCUGUAGGCUAUACUUGCCAUCUUUGUCCUCAUUCCGUGGUCUCAGGAAUGCCGUUUGAAGCCACAGGUGUUCGUUGAAGGCAAGGUGGCAAUUCACCUAGAGAAGCUACACUGGAGAAGGUGGGCAUCCUACUCAUGCAGCUCAUAGGUACCCCUUCUGCUUCCACUCUGUAUGCUUUUAUGGCUGUAUAUCAGAUAAUAUCCAGUUAUUAAUGGGAAGUUCAGAUCCCGUGGUUACUUAGUGUCCUUCAGUCAGGCAAUCAGACUCUACUAAAGCUCAAAAGCCAGCCAAGAAUUGUUUCUCAAAGGGAAAAUAGCUAUUUGUAAAUCAGAUCUGGUUCUUCUCUUAAACCCUUGGACUUGCACUGUAACCAUCCUUUCAGAGCUUGCUAUAUGCUUUACAUACUAUCCCCAUCUGCCACACCCCAUGUGAGCACUGGUGCAUCUGUGGGUCAUCACCUCUUAGAGACAGAGGAUUUUUUUUUUUUUUUUGUGGUUUUGAUUUUUUCUGCUUUUUGCUUUUUUGGGGCUGCACCUGUGGCAUAUGGAGGUUCCCAGGCUAGGGGUCGAAUCAGAGCUCUAGCUGCUGGCCUACGCCACAGCCACAGCAACGCAGGAUCCGAGCUGAGUCUGUGACCUACACCACAAGUCACAGCAACGCCAGAUCCUUAACCCACUGAGUGAGGCCAGGGAUCGAACCUGCAACGUUAUGGUUCCUAGUCAGAUUCAUUUCCACUGCACCACAGCGGGAACUCCAAGACAAAACUUCUUGUACUACAGUCUGAACUAGCAGGAGAACUGAUUCUUAACCUGAACCAAACUCAAAUGUGGUAGCCUUUUGGGUGACUUGGUCAAUAAGUUGGAGCAACACACCCAAUCAUAGUGUAUAUUUGCUCUUAAAUACAGUGAAGCCCAAUGAGUAUUGUGCCUUUUUCUUAGUGUUGGGUACCACUACAUGUCUUUCACUUUGACAGAGUUAUUGUAUCAUCUCCCAGACUCCUGAAUCCCCAGAAAUUUCACCAAGAUGUUGGGAAUUCAUGGGAUUUCUCUCUCACCUUAUGGCAUCUGUGUGUCUUACUAAGACCUCUGGAGUGCUGUCUACCUCCUGCUGUUUGGAUUCUAGAGUCAUGCUAUCACUUUGGUACCAUAUGACGUCUUGGAGGAUGGAGAAACAAGCAAGGUCUUGUAGAAUGAAUUAUGGCCCAGAGUGAGGAAGUUGACAUAACCCUGAGGCAAAAUGGUGAAGGUGGACUCCUGUUUCUGUCAAGGGAAAACAAACUGCUUCCAGUUUUUCUAUUAUUCGGGAAAGAGGGGAAAGAAAUCUAGAUGAAUAGCUACAGUUCCAGAGACUAGAUUUAAUUGUAAAGAUCUACAUUUGGAUGGUAGUUGCAGUUGGGAUCCUCUCCUAAUUAAGCUUAUGAUAGUUUGUGGUCAUGAUCCAAGACCCCUCUUUAAUAUGUCAUGGAUUAAAUUGGUGAGUGAAAUGGGAGUGAGUGAUAUGAUAGAAAUCAAUACCUCUACCUUUUCAGGUCUUUGAAUACUGUCAAUAUUAAUUUUUAAUGAACUGGUUUUGGACAUUCCCUCAUGAAUGCAGAAUAGCUUUUUGUUUGUUUGUUUUGUCUUUUGUCUUUUUACGAACGCCUUCACAGCAUAUGGAGGUUCCCAGGCUAGGGGUCUAAUCAGAGCUGUUGCUGCUGGCCUUUGCCAUAGCCACGGCAAUGCCAGAUCUGAGCCACAUCUGCAACUUACACCACAGCUCAUGGCAACACUGGAUCCUUAACCCACUGAGCAGGGCCGGGGAUCAAACCUGAAACCUUAUGGUUCCUAGUCGGAUUUGUUUCCACUGCACCAAGAUGGGAACUCCAGAAUUGGUUUUUUGUUGUUUAUAAUAUUGGAAUGCAAGAGAAGCUCUAGGGUUUCCCUCCCUGCUUACUAUAAUUGCCUUCCAUCCAAGGUCAGAGGGUCAGUGUGGAAUUCUUCCUCUUGCUGAUCUGGAGUAUGAGCCAUUAUGUGCUAGGAGGUAGGUGUAUCUAAUAUUGAGGGUCUGAUUGAGGAAGUCUGGCUCUUUUUGGUAGCAUAGUGGAAUCCUGGGUCCCUCUGAGGCCUCUGUGGCGGCAUAUGGAGGUUGCCAGGCUAGGGAUCUAAUUGGAGCCAUAGCCGCCGACCGAUGCCACAGCUACAGUGACGCAGGAUCUGAGCCACAUCCUGCAACCUACACCACAGCUCAUGGCAACACCAGGUCCUUAACCCACUGAGCAAGGCCAGGGACCUAACCUGCAACCUCGUUGUUCCUAGUCAGAUUCGUUAACCACUGUGCCACGACGGGAACUCCAACAAUAACUUCGUUAGGUGAUACCAUUACAGGGCCUCCAGCAAGGUGGGAACAGCCUUUUCAAGGAAGGGGCACUUUCUGGACAGUAGAUUAGUGGGGCAUGGUACCUCUCUUACUAAGCCUGCUGCUGGAAGAUGCUGGGUUAUCCCAGCUAGGUAUAAGAUAUCCUGUACAUACUUUUGAUAUUAUCACGUUAUCCAGAAAUUCUGGGUCUUCUAAAUAACUGAGAUCUGGGAACUGCUCUGGUGACUUAAGAUCCAGUUGGCUUUGGAGUUCCUGUUAUGGCUCAGUGGUUAACGAACCCAACUAGUAACCAUGAGUUUGCAGGUUUGAUCCCUGGCCUCACUCAGUGGGUUAAGGAUCCGAUGUUGCUGUGAGCUGUGGUGUAUGUUGCAAAUGUGGCUUAGAUCCUGCAUUGCUGUGCCUGUGCUGUAGGCCAUCAGCUACAGCUCUGAUUUGACCCCCUAGCCUGGGAACCUCCAUAUGCCACAAGUGUGGCCCUAAAAAGACCAAAAGAAAAAAAAAAAA
RNAcentral lists this long non-coding RNA (5780 nucleotides) under Sus scrofa (pig). Its description in RNAcentral is "lncRNA (ENSSSCG00025045059.1)". The record is from RNAcentral. Lineage: Eukaryota; Metazoa; Chordata; Mammalia; Artiodactyla; Suidae.